Molecule: long non-coding RNA, 702 nt
Organism: Panthera uncia (snow leopard)
Lineage: Eukaryota; Metazoa; Chordata; Mammalia; Carnivora; Felidae
Exons: 4
Source: RefSeq, a predicted model, not a curated record
GGGUCCCCGGUGGGAGCUGGACGGCGGGGCGUUCCCGCCGGCCUUGCGCAGGGCCUUGCCCGCAGAAUGUGGGGACUCCCGGAAUUCGCCAGCGGGUUGGUGGAAAACGGUAUCGGUCUGGUCCUCGAGUGCAUUUCUGCCUCUGAUGUGUGCUCCCGUUUCUGACGCGGCGGACGUUUAACCCCAAAGCGUGUGUGGUGAUGUGGAGAACCGCGUGGGGGCCCGCGUCUGGCGUCCAGCAGAGGCGGGUGUCAUCAGCUCUCGGGUGAGAUCAAGUCCAAGGCCCAGACGAACGAACCCACCCGGGGAGGCGGUGCAGCAGGAACUUUGGCCAGCAGGCUCUGCCCUGCUCACACCUCUUUCUGCCGCCUGGAUCUGCCUGAGCCUGUGGCCAAGCUGAGCCCCUGUGGGCUGGCUCUCACUGCCCCUGCAGGAAAAGCCCCCGAUUCUCUGUUUGAAGGCUGGGGCCAUUUCCUGAUCUUUGAACAUGCCCAUCCCUGCACCGCAGUCAAGGUACAGAAUUAUUCCAUCAUCGCAAAGAUCUCCCUCAUGCUACCUCUUUAAGAUCAAACUCACCACCUCUCCCCACUUGCCCGCCAUUGCUCCUAACCCCUGGAAACCACCAUUUUGUUUUUCUUCUAUGUAACUUUGUCAUUUCUAGAAUACUGCAUAAAAAGAAUAAUAAAGUAUGUGACCUUUGAA